RNAcentral lists this ribosomal RNA (315 nucleotides) under uncultured bacterium. RNAcentral describes it as "bacterial SSU rRNA". It matches the Rfam family "Bacterial small subunit ribosomal RNA", at positions 29 to 333 of the family's 1533-position model. The record is from RNAcentral.
AACGAACGCUGGCGGCGCGCCUAAUACAUGCAAGUCGAGCGAGAAGACGUAGCAAUACGUUUGUAAAGCGGCGAACGGGUGAGGAAUACAUGGGUAACCCUACCCUCGAGUGGGGAAUAACUAGCCGAAAGGGUUAGCUAAUACCGCGUACGCUCCUUGGACUUCGGUUCAGGGAGGAAAGCGAUACCGUGGGUACCGCGCUCUUGGAUGGGCUCAUGUCCUAUCAGCUUGUUGGUGAGGAACGGCUCACCAAGGCUUCGACGGGUAGCUGGUCUGAGAGGACGAUCAGCCACACUGGCACUGCGACACGGGCCA